RNAcentral lists this ribosomal RNA (254 nucleotides) under uncultured bacterium. RNAcentral's name for it is "partial 16S ribosomal RNA". It matches the Rfam family "Bacterial small subunit ribosomal RNA", at positions 524 to 776 of the family's 1533-position model. The record is from RNAcentral.
UACGUAGGGUGCGAGCGUUGUCCGGAAUUAUUGGGCGUAAAGAGCUCGUAGGCGGUGUGUCGCGUCGGCCGUGAAAACCUGGGGCUUAACUCUGGGCGUGCGGUCGAUACGGGCAUCACUGGAGUUCGGCAGGGGAGACUGGAAUUCCUGGUGUAGCGGUGAAAUGCGCAGAUAUCAGGAGGAACACCGGUGGCGAAGGCGAAUCCCUGGAAAAUACCUGACACUGAGGCACGAAAGCUAGGGGAGCAAACAGG